This 497-nucleotide ribosomal RNA is filed under the name uncultured bacterium. RNAcentral describes it as "partial 16S ribosomal RNA". It matches the Rfam family "Bacterial small subunit ribosomal RNA", at positions 28 to 507 of the family's 1533-position model. The record is from RNAcentral.
GAUGAACGCUGGCGGCGUGCCUAAUACAUGCAAGUCGAGCGAACGGACGAGAAGCUUGCUUCUCUGAUGUUAGCGGCGGACGGGUGAGUAACACGUGGAUACCCUACCUAUAAGACUGGGAUAACUUCGGGAAACCGGCGCUAAUACCGGAUAAUAUUUUGAACCGCAUGGUUCAAAAGUGAAAGACGGUCUUGCUGUCACUUAUAGAUGGAUCCGCGCUGCAUUAGCUAGUUGGUAAGGUAACGGCUUACCAAGGCAACGAUGCAUAGCCGACCUGAGAGAGUGAUCGGCCACACGGGAACUGAGACAGGGUCCAGACUCCUACGGGAGGCAGCAGUAGGGAAUCUUCCGCAAUGGGCGAAAGCCUGACGGAGCAGCGCCGCGUGAGUUAUGGAGGUCUUCGGAUCGUAAAACUCUGUUAUUAGGGAAGAACAUAUGUGUAAGUAACUGUGCACAGCGUGACGGUACCUAAUCAGAAAGCCACGGCUAACUACGUG